This 5630-nucleotide long non-coding RNA is filed under the name Homo sapiens (human). Its description in RNAcentral is "HSALNT0358908". Lineage: Eukaryota; Metazoa; Chordata; Mammalia; Primates; Hominidae. The record is from RNAcentral.
AGCUCAGAUUUGAAGGCAGUAGCUUGCCGAUGCUCCCAGCUGAAUAAAGCCCUGCCUUCUACAACUCAGUGUCUGAGAGGUUUUGUCUGCGGCUCACCCUGCUACAUUUCUUGGUUCCCUGACUGGGAAACGAGGUGACUGACGGAUGGCCGAGGCAGCCCCUUAGGCGGCUUAGGCCUGCCCUGUGGAGCAUCCGUGAGGGGAACUCCGGCCAGCCUGAGUGACGUGAUCCAAAGAGCGCUCCCGGGUAGGCAAUUGCCCCAAUGGAACGCCUUGCCAGAGCAGCGUGUAGCAGGCCCCCACGGAAGAUUAACACAGUGGCUGAACACCAGGAAGGAACUGGCACUUGGAGUCCGGACAUCUACAACUUGGUAAGACUAGUCUUUGGAACUUGCCCCACUCCAUCUGAGUGGAAGCGUGGCCUGAUCACCCACAGUGUGCCUGUAUUGGCAUUUUGUUCUGGUUUUGACUUGGCUUGAGUUGGUAAGACUAGUCUUUGGAACUUGCCCUACUCCAUCUGGGUGGAAACAUGGCCUGAUCACCCACGGCAUGCCUGCAUUGACACUUUUGUUCUGGUUUUGACUUGACUUAGAUUGUGUGAUACUUUGGUUUUAGUUUUGACCUGGCUUGGAUUUCUGGAUACUCUGAUUUUGGUUUGGUGUAAACUGCAAAAGUGUGUGUGUGCCCUUUUUACCUGUUUUUUGUUUUGUGGUGUGUGUGUGGUGUGAACAUGGUGUUUUGUCUUGAAGAAGCAUGGGUCAGGCAAAAAUAAGCCCACCCCACUAGGAACUAUGUUAAAAAAAAUAAAAAUUUCAAGAAAGAAUUUAAGGGAGAUUACGAUGUUACUGUGACACCAGGAAAACUUAGAACUUUGUGUGAAAUAGACUGGCCAGCAUUAGAGUGGGUUGGUCAUCAGAAAGAAGCCUGGACAGGUCCCUUGUUUCAACGGUAUGACACAGGGCAACCUGUAAGCCAAGGCACCCAGACCAGUUUCCAUACAUAGACAGUUACAGCUGGUUUUAGACCCCCUUCCCCUCCACAGUAGUUAAAAGAACAGCAGCAUAAGCAGUUGGGAGAGGCAAGGAAAGACCAGCAGAGAAAAAAAAAAAAGAGGCCAUCUAUACCAAUUCUAAGUUAAUUUAGACUAAACAAGGUCUUAUUAAUAGCAAAGGAUAAUUGAAAUCCCAAACUUACAAGGUUUUCAACAAAAGUGAAGUUUGCUAAAAGUUAACAGCAUAACAUAUAUUGUGGUAACUUCUAAUCUUGUGGCCUUAGAGAGUCUAGUCCAAAGACAUAAAGAAAGUUCGCUUUAAAAAAAGGAAUGGUUAUCUUCAAAAAAAAAAGCGGGGGGGAGGCAGAAUUUAUGUAAAAAGAGUGUUAUAUGGUAAAUUCUUGUCCUGAAAUAAAUUAACUGGUUGUUUAAAGAAAAAAAAUGUUUGUAAUAAGUCAGAAAGUUGAGGCAUGUUGAAGAAUUGUCGGCGAAAGUUGUGAAAGAAAAAAUGUUAUAAAAAAAUUUAUGCAAAAAAGCCUCCUGAGUACUACUAUUGAAGAAACAGUUUAUGUGCAAGGUGUAUAAAAAUAGUAAAAUAUACCUUUGGUAAAAAGAUUAUAAGGAGGCAUAAGAAUGUGGAUUUUUACCAACAUUAAAAGGUUAAAAAAUUAUUGUUUUGAAAGUUUAAGCAAGUUUUAAAACUUUAAUUGUAAAGAAAAUUCUGUGUAUAAACAUAUUAGCUAAAGUUAAAAAGGUAUCAUCCAGCUUUUCUGUGAACUGGACAUUAAAGUAAAAAUGCAACAGGUUUUUCUUAAAGCAUCAACCUGCUCUUUAACAAAAAUUAUAAAAGGUUAAAAAGAGUCUAUAAAAUCUCACCUUAUGGUCAAACAUGAAAAAUUGGAUAAAUAUAUCUACAAGGUUUUAUUAAAAUUAAGUUUAACAUUAAUAACACACUAAUAUAAAGGUAAAAUUUAGCUUAUCUGGUAUAAAAAUCAUACAAGAAGCAUUAUUAAAUAUAAAAUGGUGUUUAACUUUCUUUGGUCUAAAAACUAAUAAAAAUAGGUACUAAAGGAAACAUUCCUUUUACUAGAGGAUCAUAGAAGUUAAAGACUUAAAACAAACUUUGGAAAUUAAGACAGCAUACCAAGAUGCAAAUGCCUGGUUGAAAUGGAUCAAAUAUUCCAUCUGCACAUUAAACAAAAGCAAUUGUUAUGCUUGUGCACAUGGCAGGCCAGAGGCCCUGAUUGUCCCCCUUCCACUAAGGUGGUCCUCCAGUCGACCAGGCGUGGGCUGCAUGGUAGCUGUUUUCCAGGAUUCUACAGCCUGGAGUAAUAAGUCAUGCCAAGCUCUCUCUGCUAUAUCCUGAAGUCCCUGAGGGUCAGCCCCCGAAGGCCAUCCAGCUUCUGUCUCCCAACGCUAAGUUCACUUCUUGUCUCUCGUGGCAGGGAGGAGACUUAGCAUUCCUUGGAGACCUGAAGGGAUGCAGUGAGCUUAAGAAUUUUCAAGAGCUUAUCAAUCAGUCAGCCCUUGUUCAUCCCCGAGUGGAUGUGUGGUGGUAUUGUGGUGGACCUUUACUGGGCACUCUGCUGAAUAACUAGAGUGGCACUUGUGCUUUAGUCCAUUUGGCUAUCCCUUUUACCCUGGCACUUCAUCAACCAGAGGAAGAAAAAAAUAAAAUAAAAUAAAAAUCAUAAAGUGAGAGAAGCCCCUUAUAGGUCUUUCAACUCUCACAUCUAUUUAGAUGCAAUUGAAGCCCCGCAAGGAAUACCAGAUCAAUUUAAAGCUUGAAAUCAAAUAGUUACAAGAUUUAAAUCAAUAUCUUGGUAGAUGACAGUCAAUAAAAAUGCAGAUUAGAUAAACUACAUCUAUUACAACCAACAGCAAUGAGCUUUUCAUGAAUUUAAAAGAAAAAAUUGUGUUGGCCCCAGCCCUGAGGCUACCUGACCUGAUGAAACUCUUUACACUCUAUGUGUCAGAAAGAGAAAAAAUGAUAGUUGGAGUUUUAACCCAGACUGUAGGGCCCUGGCCAAGGCCAGUGGCCUAUCUCUCAAAACAACUGAUGGGGUUUCCAAAGGCUGGCCCCCAUGUGCAAGGGCCCUGGCAGCAAUGGCCCUGUUAGUACAAGAAGCAAAUAAGCUAACUCUUAGGCAAAACCUAAAGUCCUCGUAUGCUGUGGUGAUUUUAAUAAAUACCAAAGGACACCAUUAGCUAAUGAAUGCUAGACUAACUAGAUACCAAAGCUUGCUCUGUGAAAAUCCCCGCAUAACCAUUGAAGUUUGCAACACCCUAAACUCCGCCACCUUGCUCCCGGUAUCAGAGAGCCCAGUUAAACAUAACUGUGUAGAAGUAUUGGACUCAGUUUAUUCUCGUAGGCCCAACCACCGAGACCACCCUUAAACAUCAGUAGACUGGGAGCUGUACGUGGAUGGGAGCAGCUUUGCCAACCCUUGCAAAGUGACUCUGAAGAAGACGACAAGCCUUGUUCCGGUCACACCCGGAAGCUGACUGGUUCACGCAUGGCCGAAGCAUGAGGAAACUCAUCGCGGGAAUAAUUUUCCUUAAAAUUUGGACUUGUACAGUAAGGACUUCAACUGACCUUAUGCUAAGCUGCCUGAUCAGUGGACAGGUAGCUGUGUAAUUGGACAGGUAGCUGUGUAAUUGGCACCAUUAAGCCAUCUUUCUUCUUACUGCCAAUAAAAACAGGUGAACUUCUAGGCUUCCUAGUCUAUGCUUCCCGUGAAAAAUGAAGCAUAGCCAUAGGUGAUUAGAAAAUAAUGAAUGGCCCCCUGAAAGAAUCAUACAAUACUAUAGACCCACCACUUAGGCACAAGAUGGCUCAUGAGGAUAUCGAACCCCCAUCUACAUGCUCAACCGAAUCAUACAGUUACAAGCGGUUUUAGAAAUUAUUACUAAUAAAACCGGUCAAGCCUUGACUGUUCUUGCCCGGCAAGAGACUCUGAUGAGAAAUUUUAUCUAUCAAAAUAUACUAGCUCUUGACUACUUGCUAGCAGCUGAAGGAGAAGUUUGUAAAAAAUUUAACCUUACUAAUUGUUGUCUACACAUAAAUGAUUAAGGGCAAGUAGUUAAAAAUAUAGUUAAAGAUAUAACAAAACUGGCACAUGUACCCAUGCAAGUGUGGCAUGGGCUCAAUCCGGGAGCCAUGUUUGCAAAUUGGUUCCCAGCAAUGAAAAAAUUUAAAACUCUUAUAAUAAGAGUAAUAAUAGUAAUAGAAACCUGCUUACUGCUCCUUUGUCUGAUACCUGUAUUUCUCCAAAUGAUAAAAAACUUUGUCACGACCUUAGUUCACCAAAAUGCUUUAGCAGAAGCAUACUAUAUAAAUCACUAUCAAUCUAUUGCACAAAAAGACAUAAGUAGCAAAAAUAAGACUCAGAACUCCCACUAAUAAAAACUGAGAGUCUCAAAGGGGGGAAAUGAGGGAAGAGAGAGAGACCCUCUCAUAUUGUUUUAUAUUGUUUUAUACUCAGUACCUCUUUUAAGAAAAAGUGACAAGGAAGUAAAACCAAAGACAGGCAGCCUGGUGCCAGGCCUGAAACCAGGCCUGGGCCUGUCUGGCCUAAACCCAGUAGUUAAAAAUCAACUCAUAACUUAGAAACUGAUGUUAUUCAUAGAUUCCAGACAUUGUAUAGAAGAACAUUGUGAAACUCCCUGCCCUGUUCUGUUUCUCUCUGACCACUGGUGCAUGCAGCCCCUGUCAUGUACCGCCUGCUUGCUCAAAUCAAUCACGACCCUUUCAUGUGAAAUCUUUAGUGUUGUGAGCCCUUAAAAGGGACAGAAAUUGAGUAUUUGGGGAGCUUGGAUUUUAAGGCAGUAGCUUGCUGAUGCUCCCAGCUGAAUAAAGCCCUUCCUUCCACAACUCAGUGUCUGAGAGGUUUUGUCUGCAGCUCAUCCUGCUAUAAAACCAGCUCUGCUCAUGCUUCCAGCCCCAGCUCAAGAAUCUCCCUGCCUUGAAGCCUUCCCUGGCCCCUGGUACAGGUAGUGUUAAUGCAUGCUGUGACCUUUACCUCAGCCUGUUGUUUCCCACUGGAUAGUGAGCUGCUGGAGACUCAAGACCUGAGCCCAGGGGAAAUGAUGGGCAGGAUCCCUGUGGGUAGGGGCAGGCCAUGUGGGCCUGUUGCACCUUUAUGCGUGGUCGGGCCUCUCUGGUCAGCUCUGAGCAGUGCAGAGCUCUGCAAUGUCUUGGGUGUGCUGAAGGUCCACUGUGACACCUGCCCACCUGGCCCCAGCAAGCUGUCAUCCGGAAGGUCAGACUUGAGCAAGAGGAGGAAAGCAAGCCCAAUGCCUAGAGGAUAUAAGAAUUGAGGAGCAUGCAAAUUCUCUUCCAGCAAUGACAAUGCUAAGAUGUGUGGGAGGUUGUUUCCAAGUUGUUGAGCAUGGGUUGGGGAUUGCCCCUGGCUGAAGAAAAAAUGUGAAUUUUGGCUGGGUGCAGUGGCUCACGCCUGUAAUACCAGCACUUUGGGAGGCUGAGGUGGGUGGAUCAUGAGGUCAGGAAUUUGAGACCAGCCUGACCAACAUGGUGAAACCCCAUCUCCACUAAAAAUACAAAAAUUAGCCAGACAUGGUGGCGCGUGCCUGUAAUCCCAGCUACUCAGGAAGCUGAGGCAAGAGAAUUGUUUGAACU